CAAAAAAGGGGUAAUUUUUUUUUUUCCUUUUUUUUUUUGUUUAAAAUUUACAUUUUAAGUUAGUUAUUUUUUAUCACGAAGAGAAAGUAGGUGGGGGGUGGUUAUGGCUCUAAUGUUUAAGGAAUAAGGGGAAAAAAGGUUAAAAAACAAGGGUUUCCAUUUUAAUAGACAAAUAAUUGAGUAAAGAACAUUAUUUAAAAGCAGUGUUAGGUUGGUAAUUCAAACUCAUUUAAAUAUCUCAUCUACACUGCUUUUAAAUUAUGUAAAUUGGAAAUUUGCCAAUAACUUUAUUGUUAAUAAAUGCAUUGGAAAUUUGCCAACAAUUUUAGUGUAAUAAACUUCAUUGGAAAUUUGCCAAUAUAAAAUUUUGCUGAUGAAGGUUUUUUGUUUACCUUUAGCCUUGACUAUGAAGUCAUUUUCUAUUUUUAUAGCCUUAUGAUGUAGUUGAAUUAUUUAAUACUUUUAUGAUGUGUUUAAAUGGGGUUUUAUCAUGUUUAUGGUUGCAAAUUUAUUGUUUUAGUAUAAUAAACUCCAUUUAAAAUUUGCCAAUAAAAAAAAUUUUUGUUUAUUUUUAGCUAUAAUUAUGAUGUCAUUUUCUAUUUUACUUUUAUGGUUGCAAAGAAAUUUUUAUUUUUAGAUAUUACUGUUAAAUGAUGCUGAUUAAGGUUUUUGCUAUGUUUAGCCAUGACUAUGAUGUCAUUUUCUAUUUUAAUAUCUGUUAUGAUGUAUUUAAAUGGGCUUUUAUGGUUACAAAGGAAUUUUAUUUUUAGAUAUUACUAUAAAAUGUUGCUGAUGCUGAUUAAGGAUUUUGUUUAUUUUUAGCCAUGACUAUGAUGUCAUUUUCUAUUUUAAUACCUUUAUGAUGUAAUUUCCAUUUUUAGAUAUUACUGUUAAAUGAUGCUGAUUAAGGGUUUUUUGCUAUGUUUAGCCAUGACUAUGAUGUCAUUUUCUAUUUUAAUAUCUUUAUGAUGUAUUUAAAUGGGCUUUUAUGGUUACAAAGGAAUUUUAUUUUUAGAUAUUACUUUAAAUGUUGCUGAUUAAGGAUUUUUGUUUAUUUUUAGCCAUGACUAUGAUGUCACUUUCUAUUUUAAUACCUUUAUGAUGUAUUUAAAUGGGCUCCCAUGUAUUUAGAUUUUUGAUUAUUUAUACAUGUUACCAAAUUGGUCCACAUUGAACAAAAACGGUCCAAAUUUCAACUUUAUUACAUUACAUCAAACAUUGAAUUCUACAUAUUCUUUGAUAUAUUGAAAUUAACAAACAAUUUAGUUUAUGGAUAUUCCACCAUAAUAGGUAAAUUAAAUUUUUUCCAGUUCUUACACCACAUUCAUCCUGUGUCAGAAACCUAUGCUGUGUCAAAUAUUUAAUGACAAUCCAAAGUCAUAGCUGUAUCAAGCUUGAAUUUUGUGUCCAUACUUGCCCCAACUGUUCAGGGUUCGACCUCUGCGGUCGUAUCAAGCUGCGCCCCAGCGAAGCAUUUUAUUGUAACUUCCAGACAUAACUUGUGUGUAAGUGUAUGGAUCUCUCUGACAUUGUACCACAAGGUUCCAUAUCACAAAGGGAAUGCUGGGAUUGAUUUUGGGGGGUAAUUGUCUCCAAAUUUUAGGAAUUAGGGGCCAAAAAGGGGCAAAAAACAAGCAUUUUUCUAGUUUCAUGACAAUAACUUGUGUGUAAGUGUAUGGAUCUCUCUGACAUUGUAUCACAAGGUUCCAUAUCACAAAGGGAAUGCUGGGAUUGAUUUUGGGGAUAAUUGCCUCCAAAUUUUAGGAAUUGGGGGCCAAAAAGGGGCAAAAAACAAGCAUUUUUCUAGUUUCAUGACAAUAUCUUGUUUGUAAGUGUAUGGAUCUUUAUGAAAUUGUACUACAAGGUUCCAUAUCACAAAGGGAAUACUGGGAUUGAUUUUUGGGGUAAUUUCCUCCAAAUUUUAGGAAUUAGGGGCCAAAAAGGGGCCAAAAACAAGCAUUUUUCUAGUUUCAUGACAAUAACUUGUUUGUAAGUGUAUGGAUCUUUAUGAAAUUGUACUACAAGGUUCCAUAUCACAAAGGGAAGGCUGGGAUUGAUUUUGGGGGUUUUCCCUCAAAAUUUUAGUAAUUAGGGGCCAUAAAAGGGCAAAAAAAACAUGCAUUUUUCUAGUUUCAGGACAAUAACUUGUGUGUAAGUGUAUGGAUCUUUAUGAAAUUGUACUGCAAGGUUCCAUAUCACAAAGGGAAAGCUGAAAUUGAGUUUGGGGGUAAUUGCCCUAAACGUUUAGGAAUUUGGGGCCAAAAAGGGGCCAAAAAACAAGCAUUUUUCUAGUUUCCAGACAAUAACUUGUGUUCAAGUGUAUGAAUCUCUCUGAAAUUGUACUGCAAGGUACCAUACCACAAAGUGAAAGCUGGGAUUGAGUUUGGGGGUGAUGAAUCAUAAGGGGGUUCAAAAAAUUGGGGGGGGGAUUUUUUUUUUCCUUUUUUUUCUUUAACAUUUUCCAUUUUAAAUUGGUUAUUUCUGAUUUAUAUAUAAAAGCAAAUAAUAAUGAUAUGGUUUGAAUAGGCAUACAUGUGAACCUCCCGACGGGAGUACAAUAAUCCCGUUUUCAGGGGUCUCCUCCCGACCUCCCGUUGAAGAGGAAAAAAUCCCGUGUAUGAAAUUUUUCAUGAAUGAAAAAUUUCUGCCCAACAUAUCAUCUCAGGCAUCUGGUGUAACUGACAUUACCUGAAGUUAUAUUUUACCUGUAAAUCAAUUAACAUGCAUAAUUAUAUGGCUUCACUUGUCAGCUUGGGUGUCAAACAUACAGGUAAUCAACGAUUUUUACCUCAGGCUAACUGCCGUUGUGUAACAAAAACUGUGUAUUUAUUGGGUUACUUCCCUUGAUUUAUCCUGUUUGAAGUUACUUUCCUUUUAAUAAUGAAAAUUUUUAAAAGAAUAUAAAUAAAAUAUAAAUUGAACAAAUAAUCAUAAAAGGAUGGUUAUUAAAUGAUUUUAAAUGUCUUAGGACAAAUAAAAAAAUAAUAAUUUGAAAAUUAUUUGAGGAUUCUAGACUUCCUUUCAAGGCUUAAAUUGAAAUUUAUAUAAUAACUAUGACCCUAAUUUUACAGAUAAAAUGAUUUUCUGAGUUUGCAAAUAAAAACUAU
This is a long non-coding RNA of Mytilus californianus (California mussel), 3107 nucleotides long. RefSeq lists it as uncharacterized. Lineage: Eukaryota; Metazoa; Mollusca; Bivalvia; Mytilida; Mytilidae. The transcript has 2 exons. The record is from RefSeq and is a predicted model, not a curated record.